Molecule: long non-coding RNA, 1155 nt
Filed under: Sorghum bicolor (sorghum)
Lineage: Eukaryota; Viridiplantae; Streptophyta; Magnoliopsida; Poales; Poaceae
Description: long non-coding RNA (SBIC_LNC000255)
Source: RNAcentral
ACUAGACCAUUUAGGAUUAUAUGUAUAUUAAGCAUGCAUACAUACAUAGAGUAUGUGGUUAUACUUAUUAUAUAUACUACAGUAGUGGCAUUUUUGUAAUAUUUUUUAUAAAAAUAUGGAUUUCUUUGAAAAUUUUUUGCGUGGUAAGAUCUAGAAUAUGAGUAUAUAAAUAUAUUCAAAUCGAUCAACAAGUAUGAACACAUACACAAUGUUGUUCAAUAAACUAUACUUUAGGCUAUAACUUUUGGAUUUUGACCGCUAUAAUUUGGCCCUAGUCUUCACUAAAUCCUGGGUCCACCACUGUAUAGGAGUCUACUAAAUAGUAUGAAUGAACCCAAUUAUCUUAUUUCUUUCUUAUUCGGGAAGGCAUGAAUCCAAUUAACCCAAGUUUUCUUCUCUCUAUAAUACCAUCAUUUCCUAGUAGGCUGCAAUUGGAGGUCUAUUGAUAAACAUAAAUGGGAGGGUUGUUGGAAUGCUUUUUCAAAGUCUCACUUGUACUCCUUUCCUACCAUCUAGCAUCAUUUUAAGAUAUUGGGAAAAUAUUAAAAGUACAUGGUAUGGUUCUUAUUGAUUGAUCAUUGUCAUCUUUGGUGUAUUAGAUGGGAAUAAGCUCAUUCAUUCUGGUUGAGAAAAAUCUUAUAUUAGAUGCAUAUAAGAUGAGAAACUAUCAAUAGAUUUUAGAAUAAAUGGGAUCCAACUUACUAGAUUAUUUUCCUAAGAUAAGCAUGAACGGCGGUGGUGGCGCCUCUUCCUCUCCGGAGGGGCGCGCCCCUCCUUCUGCUUGAAGUCGGACCCGAGAGGGAAGGGGAGCCUCUGGCCACCGGCCUGGUCCAUGGCGGCCGGGUCGUGUGGCUGGAGGUUGCGCCCUUCCCAAUCCGCGCCAGUGCUAGCCACUGGGCGCAUGGGCACGGCGGCGGACGGACAUGGCGAGGGCGGGCGGUGGCCGUCGGCGGCGUCAGCAGGCAGUUCCAGCUGCGAGCGCUCGCGUCAACAGGCGCUUGCGGGCGGGCGCUGGCGGCAGUGGCGGCUCCGGCGGCAGCGUGCGCAUGGCGGCAGCCGGCGCUCGAGGCUGCAGGCGUUCGCGGCACAGGAAGGGCGACGAAGGAGGCAGGGACGGCGGCGCUCCUCGGGGCGGAGGCGGCGGCACCCUGGCCG